Molecule: non-coding RNA, 203 nt
Organism: Cinara cedri
Lineage: Eukaryota; Metazoa; Arthropoda; Insecta; Hemiptera; Aphididae
Source: the annotation of a GenBank genome assembly
GUUACUACGCGUAUACGCAUAACCGCUACCCGCAGAACGGUGACGCAUCAUUGGUUUCAUUUUUAUUCUUCGCUUUUUGUUUUCUUCCCGUUGUAAUGCGUUUUUUUCUAGAACAAAAAGGGACAUCAUAAAUUGCGAAUAGUUAUUAUUGUCAUUGAAACGUUCGGGCACGAAAACUGAUAGUUUUUACAUUCCGAACACGG